This 1188-nucleotide long non-coding RNA is filed under the name Capra hircus (goat). Its description in RNAcentral is "lncRNA (ENSCHIG00010016647.1)". The record is from RNAcentral. Lineage: Eukaryota; Metazoa; Chordata; Mammalia; Artiodactyla; Bovidae.
CUCAGAGCCCUCCCCAGUCAUCAGUGAGGCUCAAGGUCCUCGUGUUAUGAACCCAUCCCAAUUUUAGCAGCUGAAGAAAGCUAUUUCAACAGAUUUCUAGGCCUGGCCCAACUCCAAGGACAAGCUAAAAACAGUUUUUCCAAAAUCCCAGCUCUAAACUCCAAUCCCUUAACCACUAAACUCCCUGCACCUUUCAGGAAAUGCAAGUUGCAGAAUGGAGAUGGGUGUGCACACUUGCUCCUUACUAAAGGGAUACAUACAUGUUGUUUAAAAGCCUACUUUAACUGACACAUCAAUAAAUACUCUGCACUCAGAAGCACUGAUGUAUUUCCUCCCAGUGAUUUUCCCCCUAAGGGACAACAGAAUAACUAUCUCAGUCUCUCUUCGGCUUCUGAGGGGUAUGACACAUUGCCUAUUAGAACCAGGAUGGGCCAGACCAUUGGAGUGAGGCCACUUGGAAGGCAGGGAGUGAGUGCUUCCUGGAUGGAGCUCUCUCUACCUAGCAGAGGUCCCCUGCCCCACCCCCAGCCCACCACAAAGAUCCCCUAAGGACUUGCAGAGUGCCCAGGCCACAGAGAAGGGUGGCUAGAAAUGGGGGAGGUAUAAGUUUGGCUCCCCUACUCUGUAAGAGGCUUUCUGAUGAGUGUUCAAUGUUCAACAAGGAGGCUGGAAAUAAAGGAGUACAAAUGAGACAUCAUGACAAGCAGAAUCACACAGGCAGCCAGAGCCCUUGGACCUCAGCUACUGGAAACAAGUUCCUGGCCCUUCAGUGGGCCCUCAGGAGCUGUGGCCCAUCAGACCACCAACCCUCCAUCAGACCAAGGCUAGCCUCUCCCGCGGUCUUUCUGCAUGAGUGAGCAGGGCUCCCACACCCAGGUAGGCACUGAUGCUCAACACACUGAAUCCUACAGCAUCCCAGCUGGCACCUCCCCCCUUGCCCCUCCCCACAUGUCUUCUCACAGAAAGAGCAUCAGGACUCCCCAGCCUAGAGGAGCCCCAGAAAGAACUGCACACGGCACCCCUGCACCAGGGUACACGCCACUGGCUCCUCCCUGCUCCCUUGGGAAUGAAUACCUCAAUGCAGCUACCGGCUCUUUUGUUGUUGACAGGCCCCUUGUUUAUAUCAUUACUUGUAUUUCACAGGAAGCAACUAGGACAAAGGAGACGAUGACAGCAGAGGCAGGAUAG